This 425-nucleotide ribosomal RNA is filed under the name uncultured bacterium. RNAcentral's name for it is "partial 16S ribosomal RNA". It matches the Rfam family "Bacterial small subunit ribosomal RNA", at positions 354 to 796 of the family's 1533-position model. The record is from RNAcentral.
GUGGGGAAUAUUGGGCAAUGGGCGAAAGCCUGACCCAGCAACGCCGCGUGAAGGAAGAAGGUCUUCGGAUCGUAAACUUCUAUCCUUGGUGAAGAUAAUGACGGUAGCCAAGAAGGAAGCCCCGGCUAACUACGUGCCAGCAGCCGCGGUAAUACGUAGGGGGCAAGCGUUGUCCGGAAUGAUUGGGCGUAAAGGGCGCGUAGGCGGCUCGGUAAGUCUGAAGUGAAAGUCCUGCUUUUAAGGUGGGAAUUGCUUUGGAUACUGUCGGGCUUGAGUGCAGGAGAGGUAAGCGGAAUUCCCGGUGUAGCGGUGAAAUGCGUAGAGAUCGGGAGGAACACCAGUGGCGAAGGCGGCUUACUGGACUGUAACUGACGCUGAGGCGCGAAAGUGUGGGGAGCAAACAGGAUUAGAAACCCUUGUAGUCC